RNAcentral lists this ribosomal RNA (397 nucleotides) under uncultured bacterium. Its description in RNAcentral is "partial 16S ribosomal RNA". It matches the Rfam family "Bacterial small subunit ribosomal RNA", at positions 523 to 918 of the family's 1533-position model. The record is from RNAcentral.
CUACGUAGGGGGCGAGCGUUGUCCGGAAUGAUUGGGCGUAAAGGGCGCGUAGGCGGCCCGGUAAGUCUGGAGUGAAAGUCCUGUUUUUAAGAUGGGAAUUGCUUUGGAUACUGUCGGGCUUGAGUGCAGGAGAGGUAAGUGGAAUUCCCAGUGUAGCGGGGAAAUGCGUAGAGAUUGGGAGGAACACCAGUGGCGAAGGCGACUUACUGGACUGUAACUGACGCUGAGGCGCGAAAGUGUGGGGAGCAAACAGGAUUAGAUACCCUGGUAGUCCACACUGUAAACGAUGAAUGCUAGGUGUAGGGGGUAUCGACCCCUUCUGUGCCGCAGUCAACACAAUAAGCAUUCCGCCUGGGGAGUACGGCCGCAAGGUUGAAACUCAAAGGAAUUGACGGGG